UGGGGACAUAUGGAUAUCAGGGGAACACUGGCAGUGUCCCCAAAGGAGUGAAUCCUUACUCUAUGAAAGCAGCAGGUCUAUGGGGCAGCAGAUACCCUACAAUGAAUUACAAUGAUAGGACCAACUCAAAGCCUCCAAGCCAUGGGCCUGGACUGCUUCCUAGACAGCUCUCUGGCUUGCUCCCUCCUUCACACUUUGACCUCAUGGCACCAAUGGUUGUGCCACCUGACACUCUACCCUACUGAGGCCAUUUGCCCAGAGUGGAUUUGCCAUACAU
Long non-coding RNA from Salvelinus namaycush (lake trout), 277 nucleotides. RefSeq lists it as uncharacterized. The transcript has 3 exons. The record is from RefSeq and is a predicted model, not a curated record. NCBI's taxonomy places the organism in Eukaryota, Metazoa, Chordata, Actinopteri, Salmoniformes, Salmonidae.